AAAACUAUACUUUGAGGGAUCAUUUCUAUAGUUUGUUACUAGAGAAGUUUCUCUGAAUAUGUAGAGCACCAGAAAUCACGAGGAAAAACACAGCAUUCUCUCCUGAGCAUGAAGCCAGUUUUCAGCGUAGCUUCGAUGUAACUGCCUUCAGACCUUGAUGAUCAUUCUUCUCUCCUCCCUGGAGAGUAAGAGGGAGAGGAGGCAGUCUGAGUGGU
Molecule: small nucleolar RNA, 215 nt
Organism: Nomascus leucogenys (northern white-cheeked gibbon)
Lineage: Eukaryota; Metazoa; Chordata; Mammalia; Primates; Hylobatidae
Gene: U3
Rfam family: Small nucleolar RNA U3
About the family: Small nucleolar RNAs (snoRNAs) are involved in the processing and modification of rRNA in the nucleolus. There are two main classes of snoRNAs: the box C/D class, and the box H/ACA class. U3 snoRNA is a member of the box C/D class.
Source: Ensembl